Molecule: ribosomal RNA, 263 nt
Filed under: uncultured bacterium
Lineage: Bacteria
Description: partial 16S ribosomal RNA
Rfam family: Bacterial small subunit ribosomal RNA
Source: RNAcentral
UGCGUCCUACGGGGGGCAGCAGUGAGGAAUAUUGGUCAAUGGCCGAGAGGCUGAACCAGCCACGUCGCGUGAGGGAAGACGGCCCUACGGGUUGUAAACCUCUUUUGUCGGGGAGCAAAGCGAGUCACGUGUGACUCAUUGAUAGUACCCGAAGAAAAAGCAUCGGCUAACUCCGUGCCAGCAGCCGCGGUAAUACGAAGGAUGCGAGCGUUAUCCGGAUUUAUUGGGUUUAAAGGAUGCGCAGCCGGAGGUUCAAGUAAGCG